UACAGGCUUAACACAUGCAAGUCGAGGGGCAGCAUGGUCUUAGCUUGCUAAGGCCGAUGGCGACCGGCGCACGGGUGAGUAACACGUAUCCAACCUGCCGUCUACUCUUGGACAGCCUUCUGAAAGGAAGAUUAAUACAAGAUGGCAUCAUGAGUCCGCAUGUUCACAUGAUUAAAGGUAUUCCGGUAGACGAUGGGGAUGCGUUCCAUUAGAUAGUAGGCGGGGUAACGGCCCACCUAGUCUUCGAUGGAUAGGGGUUCUGAGAGGAAGGUCCCCCACAUUGGAACUGAGACACGGUCCAAACUCCUACGGGAGGCAGCAGUGAGGAAUAUUGGUCAAUGGGCGAGAGCCUGAACCAGCCAAGUAGCGUGAAGGAUGACUGCCCUAUGGGUUGUAAACUUCUUUUAUAAAGGAAUAAAGUCGGGUAUGGAUACCCGUUUGCAUGUACUUUAUGAAUAAGGAUCGGCUAACUCCGUGCCAGCAGCCGCGGUAAUACGGAGGAUCCGAGCGUUAUCCGGAUUUAUUGGGUUUAAAGGGAGCGUAGAUGGAUGUUUAAGUCAGUUGUGAAAGUUUGCGGCUCAACCGUAAAAUUGCAGUUGAUACUGGAUAUCUUGAGUGCAGUUGAGGCAGGCGGAAUUCGUGGUGUAGCGGUGAAAUGCUUAGAUAUCACGAAGAACUCCGAUUGCGAAGGCAGCCUGCUAAGCUGCAACUGACAUUGAGGCUCGAAAGUGUGGGUAUCAAACAGGAUUAGAUACCCUGGUAGUCCACACGGUAAACGAUGAAUACUCGCUGUUUGCGAUAUACUGCAAGCGGCCAAGCGAAAGCGUUAAGUAUUCCACCUGGGGAGUACGCCGGCAACGGUGAAACUCAAAGGAAUUGACGGGGGCCCGCACAAGCGGAGGAACAUGUGGUUUAAUUCGAUGAUACGCGAGGAACCUUACCCGGGCUUAAAUUGCAGAUGAAUUACGGUGAAAGCCGUAAGCCGCAAGGCAUCUGUGAAGGUGCUGCAUGGUUGUCGUCAGCUCGUGCCGUGAGGUGUCGGCUUAAGUGCCAUAACGAGCGCAACCCUUGUUGUCAGUUACUAACAGGUUCUGCUGAGGACUCUGACAAGACUGCCAUCGUAAGAUGUGAGGAAGGUGGGGAUGACGUCAAAUCAGCACGGCCCUUACGUCCGGGGCUACACACGUGUUACAAUGGGGGGUACAGAGGGCCGCUACCACGCGAGUGGAUGCCAAUCCCAAAAACCUCUCUCAGUUCGGACUGGAGUCUGCAACCCGACUCCACGAAGCUGGAUUCGCUAGUAAUCGCGCAUCAGCCACGGCGCGGUGAAUACGUUCCCGGGCCUUGUACACACCGCCCGUCAAGCCAUGGGAGCCGGGGGUACCUGAAGUGCGUAACCGCGAGGAGCGCCCUAGGGUAAAACUGGUGACUGGGGCUAAGUCAUAA
RNAcentral lists this ribosomal RNA (1446 nucleotides) under uncultured organism. Its description in RNAcentral is "SSU rRNA". It matches the Rfam family "Bacterial small subunit ribosomal RNA". The record is from RNAcentral.